Molecule: ribosomal RNA, 1488 nt
Filed under: Thermoplasmatales archaeon
Lineage: Archaea; Methanobacteriati; Thermoplasmatota; Thermoplasmata; Thermoplasmatales
Description: bacterial SSU rRNA
Rfam family: Archaeal small subunit ribosomal RNA
Source: RNAcentral
UCAAGUGAUUUGACUCCGGUUGAUCCUGCCGGCGGCCACCGCUAUAGGAAUUCGAUUAAGACAUGCGAGUCGAGAGUCGUAAUGGACUCGGCGGACUGCUCAGUAACACGUGGAUAACAUGCCCUUAAGUGGAGGAUAAUCUCGGGAAAUUGAGGAUAAUACUCCAUAGAUCAUGAAAUCUGGAAUGAUUCAUGGUUCAAAGUUCCGGCGCUUAAGGAUUGGUCUGCGGCCUAUCAGGUAGUAGUGGGUGUAACGUACCUACUAGCCUAUGACGGGUAUGGGCCUUGAGAGAGGGAGCCCAGAGUUGGAUUCUGAGACACGAAUCCAGGCCCUACGGGGCGCAGCAGUCGCGAAAACUUCACACUGGGGGCAACCCCGAUGAGGGAAUUCCUAGUGCUAGCGCUUUUUGUGCUAGCUUUUCUUCAGUAUAGAUAGCUGGAGGAAUAAGGGCUGGGUAAGACGGGUGCCAGCCGCCGCGGUAAUACCUGCAGCCCAAGUGGUGGUCGAUUUUAUUGAGUCUAAAACGUUCGUAGCCGGUUUGAUAAAUCCUUGGGUAAAUCGGAGAGCUUAACUUUCCGACUUCCGAGGAGACUGUCAAACUUGGGACCGGGAGAGGCAAGAGGUACUUGAGGGGUAGGGGUAAAAUCCUGUAAUCCUUUAAGGACCACCGGUGGCGAAGGCGUCUUGCUAGAACGGAUCCGACGGUGAGGGACGAAGCCCUGGGUCGCAAACGGGAUUAGAUACCCCGGUAGUCCAGGGUGUAAACGCUGCAGACUUGGUGUUGGAGAUCCUUCGUGGGUAUUCAGUGCCGGAGAGAAGUUGUUAAGUCUGCUACUUGGGGAGUACGUCCGCAAGGAUGAAACUUAAAGGAAUUGGCGGGGGAGCACCGCAACGGGAGGAGCGUGCGGUUUAAUUGGAUUCAACACCGGAAAACUCACCAGGAGCGACGGUUACAUGAAAGUCAGGCUGAUGACCUUACUCGAUUUUCCGAGAGGUGGUGCAUGGCCGUCGUCAGUUCGUACCGUAAGGCGUUCUCUUAAGUGAGAUAACGAACGAGACCCUCACUAAUAGUUGCUACUCCAUCCUCCGGGGUGGAGGCACACUAUUGGGACCGCUGGCGCUAAGUCAGAGGAAGGAGAGGUCAACGGUAGGUCAGUAUGCCCCGAAUCUCCUGGGCUACACGCGCGCUACAAAGGGCGGGACAAUGGGCUCCGACGCCGAGAGGCGAAGGUAAUCUCGAAACCCGUCCGUAGUUCGGAUUGAGGGUUGUAACUCACCCUCAUGAAGCUGGAUUCCGUAGUAAUCGCGAAUCAACAAUUCGCGGUGAAUAUGCCCCUGCUCCUUGCACACACCGCCCGUCAAACCACCCGAGUUGGGUUUCAGUGAGGCUGCCCUUUUAUGGGGUUGUCGAACUGAGAUUUAGCAAGGAGGGUUAAGUCGUAACAAGGUAUCUGUAGGGGAACCUGCAGAUGGAUCACCUCCUACGCA